UUCCGAUCGGAAGGGAGCCCUUUGAGUAAGUGAAAUGAAGCGUGAAUAACUGCCUAAUUAGUGGACAUGAAAACUGGACAGUCUCCAAAGUCAUCAGAGAUGACCACGCUUGCCAGGCAACUUACUAGACUAAGGGUGACGUGCCCAUCAUGCAGGAAGCUUCUCCAAGGCUGGCGAGAGCAACUUGUCUGCUUUGAGAAAUGCAGAUCUAUCAGGAUCCAGAAUCGGACUCUGAAAAAGCUGUCAUUUCAUGUCUCUAAAACAGCCUUUGAUUUAAUGUACAAGAUGUCAAGAAGUAAAGGACAAUAAAAUAAAAACCAAAAAAGGAGAACUAUUUCAAUUAAGAAGCAUUCCUAUAUCAAUUCUUGGAAAUCACAUAAAAUAAAAGCUGUCAGAAUCAA
This 401-nucleotide long non-coding RNA is filed under the name Homo sapiens (human). RNAcentral's name for it is "HSALNT0294037". Lineage: Eukaryota; Metazoa; Chordata; Mammalia; Primates; Hominidae. The record is from RNAcentral.